AGCCCCAGGGGGAGGGUCUCUGGAGGUGGAUCCUUUGGCAGAUAAUUGAGCUUUUGUGAGGUCAUGAAGGUGGAGCCCCCAUGAUUGAAUCAGUGUCCCUAGAAGGGGACGAGAGCAGAGUCUCUCUCUGUCCCCAGUGAAACACAGCAAGAAGGCACCAUGGGCAAGCCAGGAAGGUGGAUGUUCUCACCAGACACAGACUGUGCCGCCACCUUGAUCCUGGACUUUUCCAGGCUCCCAGAACUGUGAGAAAUUAAGUUUCUGGUGCUCGAGCCCACCCAAUCUGUGGUAUGAUGGUAUAACUGUCCUAAGUCGACUAACACCAUUUUCCAUCAAUUUAUCCUAAUUUACCAAAGCUUCGGUCCAUGACAGGUUGGAGGGUCCAUGACAGGUUGGAUGGAGAGUCCUUCAUCCCAGGUAGUGUGGGAAGCUCUGACCUGUACCAUCAGCCCGGGUCCAGGAGCCGGAGUGCUGGGCUCCUGCUGCUGCUCCACUCUUGGCUCUGGGUCCCGGCUUCAUCGUAUGCAAAGUGAGGGUGUGCAGUGAUUGGACCCAGCCAAUGUGGCUGUUCAGCACAUGUUUGCUUCUUUUUGUGAAUACAAGGGGCUAUGGACACCUCUCUCCCCAGUCUCACCAUUGGGCAGGGUGUCCCAAGGAAAGCAGGUCUUUGAAGAAAUUCUGGCAGCCAGACACCAACACUCACUGACAUGUCUGCACAAAACAGUCUGCAAGCCUGGAAGAGUCCCACAUGGUCCUCAGACACUCGGACACACAGCUCGUGUGAAAGGUCUGAGAAGAAAGAUGGAAGUCAGUUUUCUAACUUCAUCAAUACCUUCAGAUCUUGGAAAUACACGGGACAUUCCCAGGUGGCAAGAUCAAGUCUUCAAAGCAGAGACAGGUCCCCACAUUUUUUUUUAAUAAUAAAUUUAUUUUUUAUUGGU
Molecule: long non-coding RNA, 941 nt
Organism: Canis lupus familiaris (dog)
Lineage: Eukaryota; Metazoa; Chordata; Mammalia; Carnivora; Canidae
Exons: 2
Source: RefSeq, a predicted model, not a curated record